UGUUUGCGUGUGUGCAUGCAAGUUUGUGU
RNAcentral lists this non-coding RNA (29 nucleotides) under Rattus norvegicus (Norway rat). The record is from RNAcentral. Lineage: Eukaryota; Metazoa; Chordata; Mammalia; Rodentia; Muridae.